GUCUGCAGCGAAGGGGAGUAGCCCCCAAUCGGAUGAUCGACAUACUGGACCGCCGGCAGUUGGCCGGACGUCCCGGUCAUCUGGACCGACGACAGUCGGUGGACGAGACCUUCGGCCGUAUG
Molecule: unclassified non-coding RNA, 122 nt
Filed under: Mycolicibacterium neoaurum
Lineage: Bacteria; Bacillati; Actinomycetota; Actinomycetes; Mycobacteriales; Mycobacteriaceae
Description: yybP-ykoY
Source: RNAcentral